GGAUACUCUGUUGCGCUAAGCUAUUCUAGCGAUUGACUAUGGGUUGUUGCUAUUCCAAAUUAGCACGAGCUGAGAACGGCUCGUCAGCUGAGAAUUCUGCAGCUGGUACGUCGACCGAUUCACAUGAAAUAGUUCUCAGAAACGGAGAAAGACUAAGGCGUC
Long non-coding RNA from Corticium candelabrum, 162 nucleotides. RefSeq lists it as uncharacterized. The transcript has 3 exons. NCBI's taxonomy places the organism in Eukaryota, Metazoa, Porifera, Homoscleromorpha, Homosclerophorida, Plakinidae. The record is from RefSeq and is a predicted model, not a curated record.